Molecule: transfer RNA, 75 nt
Filed under: Clostridiales bacterium
Lineage: Bacteria; Bacillati; Bacillota; Clostridia; Eubacteriales
Also listed under: 3 other names
Description: tRNA-Gln
Rfam family: tRNA
About the family: Transfer RNA (tRNA) molecules are approximately 80 nucleotides in length. Their secondary structure includes four short double-helical elements and three loops (D, anti-codon, and T loops). Further hydrogen bonds mediate the characteristic L-shaped molecular structure. tRNAs have two regions of fundamental functional importance: the anti-codon, which is responsible for specific mRNA codon recognition, and the 3' end, to which the tRNAs corresponding amino acid is attached (by aminoacyl-tRNA synthetases). tRNAs cope with the degeneracy of the genetic code in two manners: having more than one tRNA (with a specific anti-codon) for a particular amino acid; and 'wobble' base-pairing, i.e. permitting non-standard base-pairing at the 3rd anti-codon position.
Source: RNAcentral
UGGGGUGUCGCCAAGCGGUAAGGCACGGGACUUUGACUCCCGCAUUCGUAGGUUCGAUCCCUGCCACCCCAGCCA